GAGGGAAGUAAAAGCUACAAAGUCUCAACAAUUUUGUUUAUUUUGGUUGACCUAGUUUCUGGAGCUAAAUUAGCUCAUUUUGGACAACUUGAAGAUUGUAUGAGCUGAGCUUAACAAUAGGUAAAUUAAACAUCAAAAUCAGCUGAACACUUGGUAUAAAAAACCACAAGAAUACCAUUAGCCAAGCGCCUUUCCUUUAAUCAUAAGCUUGCAACGUUUUUUUGGAACUUGCGUAUCUUUUUGGGAGGAGAAUUGGAUUGUUCAUUAAAACAAAUAUAUCCAGACAUUUACAACUUAUGACAACAACAUGAUGCAACAGUGGCUGAAUUAUGGUCGGAGCAGGGACGGAGCAUACCUUCAGAAGGUUUCUAAAUGAUUGGAAAUUGGGAAUAACUGAAUUAUAUAGUACCUUAUCUCAGUUCAAAGUCACUACUGGAGAUAAGUCCGGAAUGGCGAAGGAAUAAACAAUUUUUCUGUGAGAGAUGCAUACAGGGAACAAAACUUGUCCAAGAAUCAAGUGUGCUGCUGCCAUGGAAGCUGAUCUGGAGAGUCCAAGAUUCCGUUUCAAAGUAGCAUGCUUUACAUCGCUGGUGGCCAAAGA
This 601-nucleotide long non-coding RNA is filed under the name Solanum tuberosum (potato). RNAcentral's name for it is "long non-coding RNA (STUB_LNC001866)". The record is from RNAcentral. Lineage: Eukaryota; Viridiplantae; Streptophyta; Magnoliopsida; Solanales; Solanaceae.